UAUUGCAUUUCCGCUAAUUUUUCAAAUUCCCAAUACUACGUUUCCGCAAAUUUAAAGUAUACGUUUGCGCAAUUUGUAUUUAUUACUUUUCCGGAAAUUUACCUGGUAAUAUUAAUAGCCGAUGCUCCAUCUAACGAUAAAUGCAUGAAGUUUGCCGAUUAUAUAUUGGAAUUUUACAUAGAUGGCAAUUCGAGAUUUCCACCAACCAUUUUGGGCAUCACCUCCUGACCCCGAGGAAAAGAGAACAACGAAUGGUGCCGAGUCUUUUCAUGCCACCUGAACGAACAGUUUUUCGCUAGCCAUCACAUGUUGGCUACAAAUAUUCAGCCAC
RNAcentral lists this long non-coding RNA (331 nucleotides) under Mytilus galloprovincialis (Mediterranean mussel). The record is from RNAcentral. Lineage: Eukaryota; Metazoa; Mollusca; Bivalvia; Mytilida; Mytilidae.